RNAcentral lists this ribosomal RNA (253 nucleotides) under uncultured bacterium. Its description in RNAcentral is "partial 16S ribosomal RNA". It matches the Rfam family "Bacterial small subunit ribosomal RNA", at positions 524 to 776 of the family's 1533-position model. The record is from RNAcentral.
UACGUAGGGGGCUAGCGUUGUCCGGAAUCAUUGGGCGUAAAGCGCGUGUAGGCGGUCCGGCAAGUCCGCUGUGAAAGUCGGGGGCUCAACCCUCGGAUGCCGGUGGAUACUGUCGGGCUUGAGUACGGAAGAGGCGAGUGGAAUUCCUGGUGUAGCGGUGAAAUGCGCAGAUAUCAGGAGGAACACCAAUUGCGAAGGCAGCUCGCUGGGACGUUACUGACGCUGAGGCGCGAAAGCGUGGGGAGCAAACAGG